CAAAAUGAUACAGACACUUUGGAAGACACUUUGGCAGUUUCUUACAAAACUAACAUACUCUUACCACAUGAUCCAGCAAUUAUACUCCUUGAUAUUUACCCAAAUGAGCUGAAAACAUAUCCACACAGAAACCUACACAGGAUUUUAUAACUGCUUUAUUCAUAGUUGUCAAAACUUGGAAGCAACCAAGAUGUCCUCCAGUAGGCGAAUGGAAAAACACACUGUGGUACAUCCAGACAGUGGAAUAUUAUUCAGUACUAAAAGGAAAUGAGCUGUCAAGCCAUGAAAAGACAUGGAGGAAAUUUAAAUGCGAUUAUGAAGUGAAAGAAACCAAUCUGAAAAGGCUACCUGGGUGCGGUGGCUCAGGACUGUAAUUCCAGCUACAUGAGAGGAUUGCCUGAGGCCAGGAGUUUGAGACCAGCCUGAACAACAUAAUAGACUGGGAGCUCCAUGAGGUCCGAGACAACCUGAAGACGCCCAGCUCAGCAGAGACUGGCUACGGCAAUCACUCAGUAACUAUUUGUUGAAUUGGACAUAAUAGAAGAGCUGAAGAAUUUUAAACAAGUCACCAUCAGUGCAGUGGAUUCCUCAAAGCAAACCUGGAAAUCUCGGCAUGAGUUGGAUUUAAGGCAGUACAUUUUCAGCUCCUGAAAAUUUGAACAGUUUCUCAAGAGAACAACUUGAAACAGAAAGGCAAGGAUGUAGAUGUGGUUGUAGAAGAUGAUGUCUGCGGCCACCAAACUGUCCACUGUGAAGACAAACCAUGCAUGUUUAGUAGGCAGUGGCUCCUCUUCCCUGUGGGGAGUCCCACUGCUUCCCUGGCCUGGGUGUUCUCUGCCGGUAGAUGUUAUUGACAAAAUAAGCAAAGUCCUCUGAUUCUGAGAAUUAGAGUUAAUGAUAGCUCUAGAUUGCCUCUGCCAUGCUAUUUAAAGUCCUGCUUUAUUGUCUGACAUGAGUUCGGCAUCUAUGAGGACUUGUCCAGUGCAAAGUACAAUCUCCACUGAAAGAUAUCACCAGCACAUCUUGUCACUGUGCUGUAGCAAGCUGGGCAGUACAAUGAUGUUGGCAGGAUCCUGUUUAGGUGGAGGAUGGCCACCUGGGCAUCAAGAAUCUUCUACCCUGAUUCCACAUUGACUCCCCAAAGUGGGCUUCAGACAGCUCUUUACUUACGUCUUCUGAUUAAAGCAGCAGACAGGGUCCCAGCUAGAGAAAAGUUCUGGGAGCAGGAGAGGUGUUGGUGGCUUUAAAACCAGGGGUGAAGAUUGAAUUAGGAGGUUAGGCAGGAGUAGGAUCAAAGACUUAGAAAAUGCUUGUUUCCUCCUAUUAUUCUUAUGAGAGCUGAUACGGGGCUUUCAGUUUUGGGGGAGAGCCUUGGAAGAGAAUGAGGGAAUUUAAUCAACUAGCGGGACCUUUCCAACUUACAUUUCCCAGUGUUUGUUGGAUGAUACGUUUGCCUAAUAAGUUAAAGCUUCCAAAAAUAGAAAGGAAAGCUUGGUGACACUAAGCUCUGGCAUGCUGUCAUCUUCUGGCUAGGGGUCUUGUGCUUCUGUUUUUCUAUUUCUGACCAAAGACAUAAAAUGUGUUGUGACCUCUCAGGUAAUGCUGUGGUAUCAUGUCCAAGCAGUAACUAACCAGAGUGGAGUUUUUACAGGUAAAAAAGUAUUGAAUAGCUCAGCAACAGGGAGGACUUAAUGAUAAAUUGCUUUUUCAGAAAAUGACAAGGGGACAGACACUUGCGGUUCUUCCAUUGAGAGCCUUAAGGAAGUUAAGCGAAGCCUCUGCUCACCCCUUCAAGUAACGAUGACCCAUCAGAUCGUGGUCAUAACCAGUAGCAUCUGAGGCACCCCUAAGCUCUCUGGGCCCCAGAUUCCUUGUUAAGUUAAAUGAGGUGACUUCCCAGUUUACCAUUCUAGGGGUUCCUGAGGAGUUAAAAAUGAAGGAGAAAAUGCAACAUGUACCAAGUGAGCAAGAGCUCAAGGCUUAUCUCUGGCACGAAAGUGACCGCUGUCCGUUAGAGAUGUGAUUGCCCUAGAUUUCCUUUAGGAAAUGCAAACAUUGAACUCUGGCCUUCAGGACCCAAGUCCCGGCUUGCAUCUAUUCUAUACACUUUCUGUUAUUUGUUAGGGCUCACAAGGAACAGUUAUUUAUCUUUUAUUUUCUAUUUUUUUUUUAGAGAUGGAGUCUCACUCUGUCUCCCAGGCUGGAGUGCAGUGGUGCCAUCUCAGCUCACUGCAACCUCCACCUCCCGGGUUCAAGCAAUUCUCCUGUCUCAGCCUCCUGAGUAGCUGGGACUACAGGCGUGUGCCAUCAUGCCCGGCUAAUUUUUAGUAUUUUUAGUAGAGGCAGGGUUUCACCAUAUUGGCCAGGCUGGUCUUGAACUCCUGAUCUCAAGUGAUCUACCCUCCUUGGCCUCCCAAACUGCUGGAAUUACAGAUGUGAGCGACCACACCUGGCCCAUUUGUUUUCUUUCAAACCCUUCUGUAAGACCAGUGCUUUAGGUGAACACGUGGACAGAACAAGAUCAUCACUAUUUUGCAAUAUGAAGACCAACUGCGCUGUGACCAGAAAAACAGAGGCAAAAUGUUGAGCUUAAUGAUACCUUUUUAUAAUUUGUAUUUGGUGUUUCUCAAUUUUCCAUUGGAUAGUUUGAGAGAUAAGUACAAGUCAAUGACAUGUUCUCUUUCGUACCCUAUUGUCUAAUCCUGCUAACACACACACACACACACACACACACACUGAUUACCUAAUUUAUCUGUUCCCCGAUUAUUACACUCUCAAUUGCUGCAGAGUCUCAGAAGCAGCAUGGUGUAACAGAAAGAAUAUGAGGCUUAGAAUCCAAAAGCCAGAGUGUGAAUUCCAGCUCCACUGACUUGCUGCGUGACUUGAAGCAAGUCAUUACGUGUCUCUGUUUACUCAUUUUAUGACUUUCCUAUUGCCUCUGUAAUAUAGCACCACAAACGUGUGGACUUAAAACAACAUGCAUUUAUUCUCUUAGCGUUCUGGAGGUCAGGAGUCUGACAUCAAUUUCGUUGGGCUAAAAUCAAGAUGUUGGUAGGACCAAGAUCCCCGUGGAGGCUCUGGGAGAACCCAUUUCCUUGCCUUUGCCAGCUUCUAAUGCUGCAUUCCUUGCAUUCCUUGAUUGUUGACCUCUUCCCCCAUCUUCAAAGCCAGCAGAACAGCACCUUGUUUCAUUGCCUUCUUUACUGUCAAAUCUCCCUCUGCCUUCUUCUUAUAAGAACACUUGUGGUUGCAUUUAGAAGCUGUGAUAAUCCAGAAUAAUAUCUUUAUCUCAAGAUCUUUGACUUGGUCUCUUCUGCAAAGUCUCUUUUGCCACAGAGGGAAAUAUUCACAGGUCCCAGGGGUCAGGCUGUGUACGUCUUUGGGGGACUUUAUUCUGCCUACCACACUCAUCUUUUUUUUUUUUUUUUUUGGAUGGAGUCUUGCUCUGUCACCCAGGCUGGAGUGCAGUGGCAUGAUCUCGGCUCACUGCAACUUCUGCCUCCCCAGUUCAAGCAAUUCUCCUGCCUCAACCUCCCAAGUAGCUGGAAUUACAGGCGCCUGCCACCACGCCCGGCUACUUUUUGUACUUUUAGUAGAGAUGGGGUUUCACUAUGUUGGCCUGGCUGGUCUUGAACUCCUGACCUCAGGUGAUUCCCCCACCUUGGCCUCCCAAAGUGCUGAGAUUACAGACGUGAGCCACCAUGCCCGGCCCCACACUCAUCUAUUAAGUAGAGCUAGGAAUUCCUAUCCUAAGGGACACAAAAAUGAAAAAAGAUAAAAUUUGUGAAGAGGCACAUAAUGAAAGCCCAUACAUGUCACUGAGUUCAGAGGAGGGUGGGUCUGACCUCCCAUUGGCUGGUCUCUGCCUGAUGGACAUCGUGAAGAAGAGAGCCAGGACUAGUGUGGCUGGGGGAUGUUCAGGGGCCAGAGUGGCUUCAGGUGCCAGCAGCCCUGGCCGAAGGAUGACUCCAGGAGCAAGGCUCAGAGCCGAGUGGAAGAAGCUUCAUAAACGCAACUGAGCCAAGCAUGAUGGGAUGUGCCUGUGGUUCCAGCUACUCAGGAGGCAGGUGGGAGGAUGGCUUGAGUCAGAAGUUCGAGGCUGCAGUGAGCUAUGAUCACACUACUGUACUCCAGCCUGGGUGACAGAAUGACACCCUGUCUCUAAAAAGAAAAGGCACCUGGAUGCUCAUGACCGAGAUGGGGUGGGGUGGGUGGGGUGGGACAGCCGCACUUUAUAACUUUGCUUUCAGCAUGAUGUGGAUUAGUGUCUCCCAUGUGGGAAAAUUAUGUUUACCACUUAGAGACCUGAUAGUGCUUGCUUACCCCAUAACGCUGGACGGUGGCAGGCUUAACUCCCCCAUCAAGGGCCUUAAUGUAUUUGGGGCCCUAGUCCUAGCAACAGCAGCAAAUCUCCUUUUUCUUUUCCUCGAGCUGGUUGUUCACCAGGCAGUUGGGAUGUUAAUGGGAAGAGAAGACACACACAAGUCCCUUGUUUUCAAUAAGGCAGUCUGGUCACGUCCUUAGCAGGUUAUUAAUCUUUUUCAAACCCCUCCUCUCCACCAAGUUUUAUGAUCCUGGGAAGGAGAUUCCUACCUAGCAUCCUUAGAGUUAUCGGGGGUUAGGAUCGGUGCAUGCAGUCACUUCCGUGGAAUCAUCAGUAGCCCUCCAGCCUCUGGGGAGAGCUGCCAGUGGUCAGAGAUGUUGGGAAUUACGAGGGAGGAGCUAGGGAGAAGGAACUCACAGUCCCUCAGUCUCUGAAGGUGGCUCCUGGCAGGAGAGGGGGCCAGUCCUAGAUAAGAGCUCUCCCAGGGAAUUCCAAGGGUCCUCCCAAGGUCCAGCCACAAGAUGAGGAAUUACUGUUGGGCUCUUCCUCAGAUGUGCCUGUGAAUUCAUAUCACAGAUGCUUGAUGCAUUUGACAAUUGUUUAAUUGCUUGAGCCCAACUGAUACUCUUUCAGUCACUUUAAGGGAGUGAUUUCAAGUAUGAUCAUUGCCUCAAAUCUGUAUGGCUUUCCUUGCCUUUCAGGUGCUUUAAGAGGGCUUAUGUUCUUUGACUCCCCUAGUAACUCAAAAGGGUGGCUAAGAUGCAACUCUGGAGGUUUCCAAGCUCUCUGCAAAGCCUGCCUUCAGUAGUCUGUGCACCACAAGAAGCAUAACUUUAUUAUCCUCUAGCUGAAUUUACCUCCUGCUUCGAGCCCCUGUUUUCCCAUGUCAUUUUAGGGGUCCAAUGUUUUUCCUGGAGGCAUAUACACACACACACACACACACACACACACACACACACACACACACACACACACAUAUAUACACACACACAUUCCAGGGGCCUCUGAGGUGCCAAGACAUGUGUGGGGUCCAUCUGGUUCACACUGAUGUCCAUGAUCAUUGAGUUCAUUUUUUAUAUCAACUAUGUGACACUUCCUAUAGUUUCCAGUUCCUGGUUAGAAUUUGCAAAGUUGCCGACUAUUUCUUUGAAUAGAGUAGCUAGAUCAUGGGUCUACACCAGUCAUCAAGCAGCGAUUUCCCUGUUGGAAGCUCCAAGCAAAUUGUCAGCUCCAGCAUUCCACACAGCUGUGGGUGCCACACUCCUUUUCCUUUUAAAAGAUGAUGAUCUGCUAGUGGUGAAUGCUCUUGGAGUUUUAUUUGUAGGUUUUUCUUGUUGUCGCAAAUGUCUAUAUUUCAUCUUCCCUCUUGAGGGAUAUUUUCCAUGGGUAGAGGAUCUAGGCUUUUCUUUUGGAUUCCAUUGUGGCUUUAAAAAAAAGUCAGUUGACUGUUUAUUUAUGGCUUCUCUAAAGGUGAUCUCUUUCUUCCUAAGGCUGCUUUAAAAGUUUCCGUUCCCUCCCUCCCUUCCUCCCACCCCAUCCCCCUUCUUCCUUUCCUUCCUCCCUCCCUUCCUCCCUUCUCUUCCUCCCUUUCUCCCUUGUCUUCCUCCUUUUCUCCCAUCCUCCCUUCCUCCCUCUUUCCUUCUUUUUUCCCUUCCUCCCGCCCUCCUUCCUUCUUCCAUCAUUAUAUAUUAAAAUAUUUUCUUUCUUUCUUUUUUUUUUUUGAGAUGGAGUUUCGCUCUUGUUGCCCAGGCUGGAGUGCAACGGUGUGAUCUUGGCUUACUGCAACCUCCACCUCCCUGGUUCAAGCGAUUCACCUGCCUCAGCCUCCCUAGUAGCUGGGAUUACAGGUGCCCGCCACCACACCCAGCUAAUUUUUGUAAUUGUAGUAGAGAUGGGGUUUCACCAUGUGGGCCAGGCUGGUCUUGAACUCCUGAACUCAGGUAAUCCACCCGCCUUGUCCUCCCAAAGUGCUGGAAUUACAGGCAUGAGCCACCACUCCCAGCCUAUUAAAAUAUUUUCUUCUGGGCCUUCCCUCCUUUUACUUCUUUUGAUACCGCCAUCAAAUGCAUGUUAGGUUGACUCACUGUGUACUCUAUUACCCUCUCAUCUGGUUUUUAAUCUUUCUGUCUCCUUAUACUGUAAUCUCAGUGUUUCUUCUGCUUUAAUUUUGGUAUAUGAAUUAUUCAGCUGUGUUCAAAGUGUGGUUAAAGCGACUUAUAUGCUCUUUAAUUUUUAGUUAUUGUACUUUUCACCUCUAGAAGUUCUUCUGUGACACUUCUUAUAGUUUCCAGUUCCUGGUUAGAAUUUGCAAACUUGUUGACUAUUUCUUUGAAAAGAGUAGCUAGAAUUGUUUUAGUCUGUGUAUAGUGAGUUGAAUAUCUGAAACCUCUGUGAGUCUGUUUCUUUUGUCUGCUAGCCCUACUCAUGGCGUCAUGUUUUCCUGGAUGUUUAGUUGGUUGUCUUUGAAUAUGUCCAACUCCAGUUAUUUCUGGGAAUACCCAAAGGCACACCUGUUCACUAUCACCCAGUGAACUGCCAUGUGUUUGUCUCCUGUCAUGGUAACAUUUGCAUUCAGGGAGAGGCCUCUGCUCUCUGCAGAACAGUGUGAAAUCACCUCAUUUUUGCCUUCAAUGAAGGUUGUCUCUUGCUGGUCACCACCACUUCCUCAAAUGACUAAUGCCACUCUUGCUCACAGUGCUAAGGCGCUAAGGAGUUUUCAGAGGGCUAGAGUGAUUCUGCAUCCUCUGGGGUUCUCAGGAAACGAGGCCACAGGGCCAUCUGUGCAUGAGUGACAGUGGGGUGGGGUGGAUGAGCAGUGGCAGUGGUGGGCACCUAUGCUGCUGGCGCCACAGCUUUUUAUAUCUUGGUGAAAACAACGCCUUGCGUUUUCACUUGUAGAUUCUCCGGCUACAUUCCACAAGAACAAAUUCUGGUCACAGAGGCCAGAGUAGACUAUCAGUGUAAUGGCCCUUCCCCUUUGAUGAUAGCAGCUUUUUUCGGGGGAGCAGGGGUGGCCAAACUUCCUAGCCUUAUUUUAUCUUCCUUUCUAGUUCUCCCCAGAGGCUGCUGGGUCCACCUCUCCCUCUGCCAGACAGACAGGCUCAGACAUGCAAGAACGGAAGGGGGUGUGGGGGUUGGUGGGAGGAUUAAGUUGGGGAAAGCCAGUCUUGUCUUUGUAGAUUACCAGAACUGACACACGUACACACACGUACACUCACUCACUCACUCACUCAUCUAUUCAUCUAUUUUUGGCCUAAGUGCCUUUGGACACUUCUUCGGAAAAGCACAUGAACUCUUCGGAGUCUCCUGUUCCACUUGGUAAAUUUCCUAUAGCCACGCACUGAAAGUCCCUGCUGCCCUCCUUCCUCUGAGCUUGUGGGGCCCACAGAUCCCCUGCUCCACUUCCUGCUUCAUUUCAGCUGAUGGUGAGUCCAGGGCAGGCUUGUAGGAAGGGCGGGCUAGGCGUGGGGAACUGCAGCACCCACCCCACCCCCCGCCCCAGUGCUUGUUGCCCCAGCCUCUGUCUCCCUCGCUGUGCCCUUCCCUUAAGCCCCACUCUUGGCCUCCCCAAAGACAGAGUUUGUUCUGUUUUUAUUGAUAGGAUGACACUCCCUCGUUCUAAUACCAUCUGAAUGCCUGAGCAAUUACAUCUUACAACCUCAUGAAAAACACAGCAGCUUGUCACGAUGAAUGAUGUUACCGUGAAUAAUGCAGUUUUGAGUUCAAACUCCUUCUUAUUCCAAGAAUGAGUAAAUAUCCCUAUUCCCUCCCCUCCCCAUUGCAUUUGGGUUUGACAUGACAUGAAUCAUUGUGGUUUUACUCCUGGGUAGAAUUGUUUUUCUGUAUUGCAUUGCCAAUUGAUGGAAGGACAAAAAAAGGAAACUUACCAAUGAGCAGUUUCAGAUGAACUUAAAUUCUCAGAAAUCUUGAAGAAUGAAUGAACUAUAACUUUCUGAAGUUGCAAAAAUGUUCAAGUCGGAAGUGACCCAUGGGAAGCAACCUGGUCCUUAAUUAGGACUGGAAAGAAAACGGAGGCCCAGCGAGGGAACAGUGGCUUCCCCAAGGUCACACUGCAAGUGAGUGGUGGCACUAGUCACCCAGGAGUCCUCCUGACUCCAUGGUAUCCUGACCCCAGACCAGCAGCCUUAUUUGUGGUUAAAGAACGUGGAAAAACAGCUUAUGUUUGAAUUUUAAAAUCAUGCCAGUACUAAAGAUCUGCAUUCCAUGAAUAUUGAGCUUUGCUGUGUGCGGGUUGCUACGAAUUUUGUAACUAUUUUCUCUAAGAGCUCUCAGUAUUUUACAUAUACAAUUCCAUUCUUUAUUGUCCAGGGAAAAAGUUGCAUUUACUGAGCAGUAAGAGGGUGAUUUGAAGUCCCUGGGGUCCCCCACCCUUGUCUUUCUAUGUGAGAUUGUAUUGCAGGGCUCACAUUUAUUCUCUCAGCAGCUCAUUGCACAGACAGUGUAUUUAUUGAGCACCUACUGUGUGCCAGGAGCUAUGUGGUAAGCUAAGCAGACAAAAACUCCUGCUCUCACAAGAAGAAAGAAUAAACAAGCAGACAAUUGCACCUAUAAUGUCAGCCUGGUGUGAUGGCUCACUCCUGGAAUCCUAGCACUUUGGGAGGUGACGAUGGGAGGAUUGCUUUAACUCGGGAGUUCAAGAUAAGCCUGGGCAACCAAGACCCUGUCUCUACAAAAAAAUCAAAAAAUUAGCUGGGGGUGAUGGCAUGAGUCUCUGGUCCCUCGGGACCAGAGGCCUCGGGAGGCUGAGGCGGGUUUAUCACUUGAGCCUGGGAGGUUGAGGCUGCAGUGAGCUGUGAUCACACCACUGCACUCCAGCCUGGGCCACAGAGCGAGACCCUGUCUCUAAAUAAACAAACAACCUAAUGUCAAGUUAGGAAGUGUGGCAAAAAGGAACAAAGUCAGGGUGACUGCCAUUCUAGAAAGGGUGGUGAGGGAAGGUCUCCUUGAGCAGAUCCUGUGGGAGUGGAAGGGUAAGUCACGAGACUCUCUGGAGGAAGAAGAUUCCAGGUGGAAAUGCCUUAGUGGGUGUUAAACGCUUUAACGGGUGUUAGCCAGAAAGCCAGAAUGGCUGGAGCUGAGGGAGUAGAGGAGGCGGCAUAGAAAAUGAGGUCAGAGAUGGAGGCAGGGCCGGAUCACAGAGGGGCACAGAGAACGAGGAGGGAAUUGGAUUUUUGGAAAAGAUUGUGGCAAAAUACAAAAUAUAAAAUACAAAAAUAAAAUAUAAACCAUAAAAUGUACUACCUUUACCAUUUUAAGUAUGCAGUUCAGUAGUGUUAAAUACAUUUACAUCAUUGUUCAACCCGUCUCCAGAACUCUCUGCAUCUUGCAAAAUUAAAACUCUAUGCCAUUUCAACAGUUCGCAUUUCCUCUUCCCUCUCGUUCAUGGCAACCGCCAUUUUUCUUUCUGUCUCUGUAAAUGUUAGUACUUGGGGUAUCUCAUCUAAGUGGAAUCACACAGUGUGUGUCCUUUUGUGACAGACUUAUUUCACUUUGCAUAAUGUCCUUAAUAUUCAUCCAUGUUGUAGCAUGUGUCAGAUUUUCCUUCCUUCUUAACAUUGUGUAAUAUUCCAUUGUACGCAUAGACUACAUUUAGCUUAUCUGUUCACCUGUGGAUGGACACUUGGGUUGCUAUAGUGAAUAAUAUUGCUGUAAAUAUGGGUAUACGAUUAUCUCUUUGUGACCCUGCUUUUAAUUGUUUUGGAUAUAUACCCAGAAAUGGAAUUACUGAAUCAUGUGGAGAUUCUGUUUUUGAUUUAUUUAUUUAUUUUUAAUUUUUGAGAUGGAGUCUCGUUCUGUCACCCAGGCUGGAGUGCAGUGACACGAUCUCUGCUCACUGCAACCUCUGCCUCCUUGCACCAUUAAUUCUGAAAAUGCAGGCCUGGAUCCAACCGCCUUUGGGGACGGGUACCUGCCCACAGGAAGAGGUUGAGGAGACAAUAAUGUCACGAGAAUCAUCAUCUUUGACUGGGAAAUGGUGUGCAGAGUUUCUGGUGCCUUCUGAAGUGAUUGUCGCAUCUCAGCCUCCCUAGUAGCUGGGAUUACAGGCAUUUGCCACCAAGCCCGGCUAAUUUUUGUAUUUUUAGUAGAGACGGGGUUUCAUCAUGUUGGCCAGGCUGGUCUCAAACUCCUGACCUCAGGUGAUCCACCUGCCUCAGCCUCCCAAAGUGCUGGGAUUAUAGGUGUGAGCCAUGCACCUGGCCUGAUUGGUUAUUUAAAUUCUGAGAUGGGGUAUACUAAUGUUUGAAAACCACAGGGAUGGGAUAGGUAUAGGUGGGGAGGGAGAGCAAAAGUGGUAUUUAGAAUAUGUUACGUUUGAAAAACCUAAUACACAUUCUACAUCCAAGUGGACAUAGAUGGAGUUAUUUGA
RNAcentral lists this long non-coding RNA (10712 nucleotides) under Homo sapiens (human). RNAcentral describes it as "PREDICTED lncRNA (TCONS_00172833)". Lineage: Eukaryota; Metazoa; Chordata; Mammalia; Primates; Hominidae. The record is from RNAcentral.